Molecule: ribosomal RNA, 451 nt
Filed under: uncultured bacterium
Lineage: Bacteria
Description: partial 16S ribosomal RNA
Rfam family: Bacterial small subunit ribosomal RNA
Source: RNAcentral
GUGGGGAAUAUUGGACAAUGGGGGGAACCCUGAUCCAGCCAUGCCGCGUGUGUGAAGAAGGCCUUUUGGUUGUAAAGCACUUUAAGCGAGGAGGAGGCUACCGAGAUUAAUACUCUUGGAUAGUGGACGUUACUCGCAGAAUAAGCACCGGCUAACUCUGUGCCAGCAGCCGCGGUAAUACAGAGGGUGCAAGCGUUAAUCGGAUUUACUGGGCGUAAAGCGCGCGUAGGUGGCCAAUUAAGUCAAAUGUGAAAUCCCCGAGCUUAACUUGGGAAUUGCAGUCGGUACUGGUGGGCUAGAGUAUGGGGGAGGAUGGUAGAAUUCCAGGUGUAGCGGUGAAAUGCGUAGAGAUCUGGAGGAAUACCGAUGGCGAAGGCAGCCAUCUGGCCUAAUACUGACACUGAGGUGCGAAAGCAUGGGGAGCAAACAGGAUUAGAAACCCCUGUAGUCC